This 497-nucleotide ribosomal RNA is filed under the name uncultured bacterium. RNAcentral's name for it is "partial 16S ribosomal RNA". It matches the Rfam family "Bacterial small subunit ribosomal RNA", at positions 28 to 507 of the family's 1533-position model. The record is from RNAcentral.
GAUGAACGCUGGCGGCGUGCCUAAUACAUGCAAGUCGAGCGAACGGACGAGAAGCUUGCUUUUCUGAUGUUAGCGGCGGACGGGUGAGUAACACGUGGAUAACCUACCUAUAAGACUGGGAUAACUUCGGGAAACCGGAGCUAAUACCGGAUAAUAUUUUGAACCGCAUGGUUCAAAAGUGAAAGACGGUCUUGCUGUCACUUAUAGAUGGAUCCGCGCUGCAUUAGCUAGUUGGUAAGGUAACGGCUUACCAAGGCAACGAUGCAUAGCCGACCUGAGAGGGUGAUCGGCCACACUGGAACUGGGCCACGGUCCAGACUCCUACGGGAGGCAGCAGUAGGGAAUCUUCCGCAAUGGGCGAAAGCCUGGCGGAGCAACGCCGCGUGAGUGAUGAAGGUCUUCCGAUCGUAAAACUCUGUUAUUAGGGAAGAACAUAUGUGUAAGUAACUGUGCACAUCUUGACGGUACCUAGUCAGAAAGCCACGGCUAACUACGUG